RNAcentral lists this ribosomal RNA (1828 nucleotides) under Escherichia coli. Its description in RNAcentral is "partial 23S ribosomal RNA". It matches the Rfam family "Bacterial large subunit ribosomal RNA", at positions 984 to 2797 of the family's 2925-position model. The record is from RNAcentral. Lineage: Bacteria; Pseudomonadati; Pseudomonadota; Gammaproteobacteria; Enterobacterales; Enterobacteriaceae.
ACACGGCGGGUGCUAACGUCCGUCGUGAAGAGGGAAACAACCCAGACCGCCAGCUAAGGUCCCAAAGUCAUGGUUAAGUGGGAAACGAUGUGGGAAGGCCCAGACAGCCAGGAUGUUGGCUUAGAAGCAGCCAUCAUUUAAAGAAAGCGUAAUAGCUCACUGGUCGAGUCGGCCUGCGCGGAAGAUGUAACGGGGCUAAACCAUGCACCGAAGCUGCGGCAGCGACACUAUGUGUUGUUGGGUAGGGGAGCGUUCUGUAAGCCUGUGAAGGUGGCCUGUGAGGGUUGCUGGAGGUAUCAGAAGUGCGAAUGCUGACAUAAGUAACGAUAAAGCGGGUGAAAAGCCCGCUCGCCGGAAGACCAAGGGUUCCUGUCCAACGUUAAUCGGGGCAGGGUGAGUCGACCCCUAAGGCGAGGCCGAAAGGCGUAGUCGAUGGGAAACAGGUUAAUAUUCCUGUACUUGGUGUUACUGCGAAGGGGGGACGGAGAAGGCUAUGUUGGCCGGGCGACGGUUGUCCCGGUUUAAGCGUGUAGGCUGGUUUUCCAGGCAAAUCCGGAAAACCAAGGCUGAGGCGUGAUGACGAGGCACUACGGUGCUGAAGCGACAAAUGCCCUGCUUCCAGGAAAAGCCUCUAAGCAUCAGGUAACAUCAAAUCGUACCCCAAACCGACACAGGUGGUCAGGUAGAGAAUACCAAGGCGCUUGAGAGAACUCGGGUGAAGGAACUAGGCAAAAUGGUGCCGUAACUUCGGGAGAAGGCACGCUGAUAUGUAGGUGAAGCGACUUGCUCGUGGAGCUGAAAUCAGUCGAAGAUACCAGCUGGCUGCAACUGUUUAUUAAAAACACAGCACUGUGCAAACACGAAAGUGGACGUAUACGGUGUGACGCCUGCCCGGUGCCGGAAGGUUAAUUGAUGGGGUUAGCGGUAACGCGAAGCUCUUGAUCGAAGCCCCGGUAAACGGCGGCCGUAACUAUAACGGUCCUAAGGUAGCGAAAUUCCUUGUCGGGUAAGUUCCGACCUGCACGAAUGGCGUAAUGAUGGCCAGGCUGUCUCCACCCGAGACUCAGUGAAAUUGAACUCGCUGUGAAGAUGCAGUGUACCCGCGGCAAGACGGAAAGACCCCGUGAACCUUUACUAUAGCUUGACACUGAACAUUGAGCCUUGAUGUGUAGGAUAGGUGGGAGGCUUUGAAGUGUGGACGCCAGUCUGCAUGGAGCCGACCUUGAAAUACCACCCUUUAAUGUUUGAUGUUCUAACGUUGGCCCGUAAUCCGGGUUGCGGACAGUGUCUGGUGGGUAGUUUGACUGGGGCGGUCUCCUCCUAAAGAGUAACGGAGGAGCACGAAGGUUGGCUAAUCCUGGUCGGACAUCAGGAGGUUAGUGCAAUGGCAUAAGCCAGCUUGACUGCGAGCGUGACGGCGCGAGCAGGUGCGAAAGCAGGUCAUAGUGAUCCGGUGGUUCUGAAUGGAAGGGCCAUCGCUCAACGGAUAAAAGGUACUCCGGGGAUAACAGGCUGAUACCGCCCAAGAGUUCAUAUCGACGGCGGUGUUUGGCACCUCGAUGUCGGCUCAUCACAUCCUGGGGCUGAAGUAGGUCCCAAGGGUAUGGCUGUUCGCCAUUUAAAGUGGUACGCGAGCUGGGUUUAGAACGUCGUGAGACAGUUCGGUCCCUAUCUGCCGUGGGCGCUGGAGAACUGAGGGGGGCUGCUCCUAGUACGAGAGGACCGGAGUGGACGCAUCACUGGUGUUCGGGUUGUCAUGCCAAUGGCACUGCCCGGUAGCUAAAUGCGGAAGAGAUAAGUGCUGAAAGCAUCUAAGCACGAAACUUGC